This 459-nucleotide ribosomal RNA is filed under the name uncultured organism. RNAcentral's name for it is "partial 16S ribosomal RNA". It matches the Rfam family "Bacterial small subunit ribosomal RNA", at positions 330 to 797 of the family's 1533-position model. The record is from RNAcentral.
CGUACACUCCUACGGGAGGCAGCAGUGGGGAAUAUUGCACAAUGGGCGCAAGCCUGAUGCAGCGACGCCGCGUGGGGGAUGAAGGCCUUCGGGUUGUAAACUCCUUUCGCUAGGGACGAAGCUUUUUUGUGACGGUACCUAGAUAAGAAGCACCGGCUAACUACGUGCCAGCAGCCGCGGUAAUACGUAGGGUGCGAGCGUUGUCCGGAAUUACUGGGCGUAAAGGGCUCGUAGGUGGUUUGUCGCGUCGUCUGUGAAAUUCUGGGGCUUAACUCCGGGCGUGCAGGCGAUACGGGCAUAACUUGAGUGCUGUAGGGGUAACUGGAAUUCCUGGUGUAGCGGUGAAAUGCGCAGAUAUCAGGAGGAACACCGAUGGCGAAGGCAGGUUACUGGGCAGUUACUGACGCUGAGGAGCGAAAGCAUGGGUAGCGAACAGGAUUAGAUACCCGAGUAGUCCCA